UACGUAGGGUGCGAGCGUUAAUCGGAAUUACUGGGCGUAAAGGGUGCGCAGGCGGUUCUGUAAGACCGGUGUGAAAUCCCCGGGCUCAACCUGGGAAUUGCGCUGGUGACUGCAGGGCUAGAGUACGGUAGAGGGGGGUGGAAUUCCUGGUGUAGCAGUGAAAUGCGUAGAGAUCAGGAGGAACACCGAUGGCGAAGGCAGCCCCCUGGGCCUGUACUGACGCUCAGGCACGAAAGCGUGGGGAGCAAACAGG
This 253-nucleotide ribosomal RNA is filed under the name uncultured microorganism. Its description in RNAcentral is "partial 16S ribosomal RNA". It matches the Rfam family "Bacterial small subunit ribosomal RNA", at positions 524 to 776 of the family's 1533-position model. The record is from RNAcentral.